This 556-nucleotide ribosomal RNA is filed under the name Alternaria alternata. RNAcentral's name for it is "eukaryotic LSU rRNA". The stretch from base 206 to 359 matches the Rfam family "5.8S ribosomal RNA". Lineage: Eukaryota; Fungi; Ascomycota; Dothideomycetes; Pleosporales; Pleosporaceae. The record is from RNAcentral.
CCGGAGGUACAGUCACACCAUGACCGACGGAGGGUCAUUACACAAAUAUGAAGGCGGGCUGGAACCUCUCGGGGUUACAGCCUUGCUGAAUUAUUCACCCUUGUCUUUUGCGUACUUCUUGUUUCCUUGGUGGGUUCGCCCACCACUAGGACAAACAUAAACCUUUUGUAAUUGCAAUCAGCGUCAGUAACAAAUUAAUAAUUACAACUUUCAACAACGGAUCUCUUGGUUCUGGCAUCGAUGAAGAACGCAGCGAAAUGCGAUAAGUAGUGUGAAUUGCAGAAUUCAGUGAAUCAUCGAAUCUUUGAACGCACAUUGCGCCCUUUGGUAUUCCAAAGGGCAUGCCUGUUCGAGCGUCAUUUGUACCCUCAAGCUUUGCUUGGUGUUGGGCGUCUUGUCUCUAGCUUUGCUGGAGACUCGCCUUAAAGUAAUUGGCAGCCGGCCUACUGGUUUCGGAGCGCAGCACAAGUCGCACUCUCUAUCAGCAAAGGUCUAGCAUCCAUUAAGCCUUUUUUUCAACUUUUGACCUCGGAUCAGGUAGGGAUACCCGCUGAAC